ACACAUAUUCAAUGUAACAUAUAUUUAUAUACUAUAAUUACUUUAUUCUUAAUUACUUCAUUUUUGUCUUGUCUCUUAACUUCCCAACAUUUUGUCUCGUACAAUAUCACAUGUCUUAUAAUUAUUUGGAAAAAAAACCCUUUAACUUGAGUAGUAUGUUCAUGUCACAUAAAAUCCUUAAAUCCCUCCUCUAUUUCCACCACGCAACUUGAA
This 213-nucleotide long non-coding RNA is filed under the name Lathyrus oleraceus (garden pea). RNAcentral's name for it is "Pisum sativum (pea) long non-coding RNA (PSAT_LNC007555)". The record is from RNAcentral. Lineage: Eukaryota; Viridiplantae; Streptophyta; Magnoliopsida; Fabales; Fabaceae.